This 609-nucleotide long non-coding RNA is filed under the name Anser brachyrhynchus (Pink-footed goose). RNAcentral describes it as "lncRNA (ENSABRG00000005949.1)". The record is from RNAcentral. Lineage: Eukaryota; Metazoa; Chordata; Aves; Anseriformes; Anatidae.
GCUGAGAUACUUUACACAUCGUUCUAGGAAACAUCAUGCAUGAUGUGAAUGUGUCAGGAUUUCCUACAACGAACACAAGGCAAUCAGCAGAAAAGCUGGAAUAUCUACAAAACAAGAUUGAAGCAAUAUGCUGAUGAAGAGGAAAUUUCCUGUGAUGAAUAUCUUAUAUGCAAUUGAGCCGAAGCUGUCGGAGCAGGUUAGGCUGUCUGACCAGUGCUGGUGGGAACUCCAGGAGCUGUAAGUUUGCACUCUAUGCUUCAGUGAAACAUCUAGAAGGACACUAACAGAACCUCAAACCUUCAGAGGGGAAGGGGGAAGAAGAACUGUCUGACCAGAGAUCUGCUAAGAAUAAUGGCAGAAAGCUCCAGAAGGAAUCACUGUGAAGACCAAAUGCUUCCUGAGAUAGGUACUGUUCUGGUGCCUACAUACACACCAGGAAGACUGGAAAACUGCCCCAAAGAGCUAAAUGUCUGGUCAACAUCAAAGACAGCAGAGAGGUGUCUGGCUGUGCUUUAUGUUGCCUCCAGGAAUGAGUCACUAAUAGCUGCUAUUCAGGAAAAAAGUGAGAACUCUCAGUCCAUAAUUCACCCUCACAAUACAAGUAAUUGA